AGUGAACGCUGGCGGUAGGCCUAACACAUGCCAGUCGAACGGCAGCACAGUAAGAGCUUGCUCUUACGGGUGGCGAGUGGCGGACGGGUGAGGAAUACAUCGGAAUCUACUUUUUCGUGGGGGAUAACGUAGGGAAACUUACGCUAAUACCGCAUACGACCUACGGGUGAAAGCAGGGGAUCUUCGGACCUUGCGCGAUUGAAUGAGCCGAUGUCGGAUUAGCUAGUUGGCGGGGUAAAGGCCCACCAAGGCGACGAUCCGUAGCUGGUCUGAGAGGAUGAUCAGCCACACUGGAACUGGGACACGGUCCAGACUCCUACGGGAGGCAGCAGUGGGGAAUAUUGGACAAUGGGCGCAAGCCCGAUCCAGCCAUACCGCGUGGGUGAAGAAGGCCUUCGGGUUGUAAAGCCCUUUUGUUGGGAAAGAAAAGCAGCAGGUUAAUACCCCGCUGUUCUGACGGUACCCAAAGAAUAAGCACCGGCUAACUUCGUG
This 492-nucleotide ribosomal RNA is filed under the name uncultured bacterium. RNAcentral describes it as "partial 16S ribosomal RNA". It matches the Rfam family "Bacterial small subunit ribosomal RNA", at positions 29 to 507 of the family's 1533-position model. The record is from RNAcentral.